RNAcentral lists this RNase P RNA (424 nucleotides) under Erythrobacter crassostreae. Its description in RNAcentral is "Erythrobacter crassostrea RNase P RNA component class A". It matches the Rfam family "Bacterial RNase P class A". From Rfam's summary of the family: Ribonuclease P (RNase P) is a ubiquitous endoribonuclease, found in archaea, bacteria and eukarya as well as chloroplasts and mitochondria. Lineage: Bacteria; Pseudomonadati; Pseudomonadota; Alphaproteobacteria; Sphingomonadales; Erythrobacteraceae. The record is from RNAcentral.
CAGGGGGCCGAGGCAGCCGCGAGCGUUCUCGUUCGAGGAAAGUCCGGGCUCCACGAAGCAAAGGUGGCGGGUAACGCCCGCCGAGUGCCCGCUUUCGGGCGGGCAUUUAGGGAAAGUGCCACAGAGAGUGUACCGCCGAUGGACCUAACGGUCACAGGCAAGGGUGAAAGGGUGCGGUAAAAGCGCACCGGGGCUGCUGGUAACAGCGUCCGCAUGGUAAACCCCACCUGGAGCAAGGCCAAAUAGGGGUCUCGCGCCUUUUAGGCAGGAGUGCAUCGCUCCGAGAGAUCCGGGUUGGCUGCUUGAGCCGUUCGGCAACGGACGGCCUAGACGAAUGGCUGCCACCGCGCGGCCGGUCCCCCGAAGAGAUUUGGGCGGAUACCGCGUGCGGACACAGAACCCGGCUUAUGAAGCCCCCUGACAU